AACCGUGUAGUGAGCAAUCUGCUCUAU
This 27-nucleotide non-coding RNA is filed under the name Cricetulus griseus (Chinese hamster). The record is from RNAcentral. Lineage: Eukaryota; Metazoa; Chordata; Mammalia; Rodentia; Cricetidae.